Molecule: ribosomal RNA, 466 nt
Filed under: uncultured bacterium
Lineage: Bacteria
Description: partial 16S ribosomal RNA
Rfam family: Bacterial small subunit ribosomal RNA
Source: RNAcentral
GAUGAACGCUGGCGGCGUGCUUAACACAUGCCAGUCGAACGAUGAAGCCCAGCUUGCUGGGUGGAUUAGUGGCGAACGGGUGAGUAACACGUGAGUAACCUGCCCUUAACUCUGGGAUAAGCCUGGGAAACUGGGUCUAAUACCGGAUAGGAGCGUCCACCGCAUGGUGGGUGUUGGAAAGAUUUAUCGGUUUUGGAUGGACUCGCGGCCUAUCAGCUUGUUGGUGAGGUAAUGGCUCACCAAGGCGACGACGGGUAGCCGGCCUGGGAGGGUGACCGGCCACACUGGGACUGAGACACGGCCCAGACUCCUACGGGAGGCAGCAGUGGGGAAUAUUGCACAAUGGGCGGAAGCCUGAUGCAGCGCAGCCGCGUGAGGGAUGACGGCCUUCGGGUUGUAAACCUCUUUCAGUAGGGAAGAAGCGAAAGUGACGGUACCUGCAGAAGAAGCACCGGCUAACUACGUG